ACUGUAGAAGAGGCUGUGGAAUAUAUAUUGCACAGAGAGGCUAUAUAAUGCUUAGAAAAAACACAUUUUUUUAAUCCAUGAGCUCCUCUACAGAAAGAAAGGCUCUAGGAUUUUGACUAUUUUAAAUUUCAAAAAGAAAGUAUCUCAUGUUUUUUAUAAUAUAUAUAUUUUUUAAUUUCAUGCUGAAGUGGUAGUAAUAGCCAAUCUGUGGGUUUUGUGUAAGAAUGGGACCAACAAGUCUACAAUUAUAAAGGAACCACGACUAUAGCAUAAGCAACUCUAUUACCUUCAAGUAGGGUUUUUACGGGGUGUACCAUUGUUGAUGAGAUGCAUCUAGGGCAUUGCUAUACAAAAUCAAAUAUUAUAAAAGUACCAUUCUAUGAACAUUGAUGUAGAAUUCACCAGUAGCCAUUAGAGUAUACGACCUUACUUCAAGUAAAACUAAGCAAGGGCUUAGGGCCCCAAUUAUAAGGGGCCCCUUAACCCAAAUCUCGCUGGUUCUUCAAAUCGUGGAUGCCACAAGAAAUCAUCAAAACUAAGCGACUACGGGAUGUUCCAAUCUUCCUUCUCGACUUCUCAUUUUUGAUUUUCCAUUCUCGGCAGAAGCAAGAAGCAACCGUUACCAAUCUGCAAUACUGAUUGAAACAAUGAAACGAUAUGUUAAGUUUGAUAUGUUCUUCUUCUUCUUCGGUUCUUCCUAUGAUAAUAUGAUAAUCCGAUUAGUUGAUUCUCGAUUCUUCUUAUGUUUGAUAAUCUAUUUUUCUUCCUCUAAUAACCCAACGACUGCUCUUCUUCUUCUACUGAUACUCUGUCAAUCUGAUUCUCAAUUACUCUAUUAGGAUUAUGUUUGAUAUCUUAUAUUUGUAGCAGUUUUCAGACCUUCCAUUAUACGAAUAUCUGAAUCUGAUUAUCAGUCAGAUUAUCUAUUAGGGUUAAUGUUUGAUGUGUUAUUUCUAUAACAGGUUUCAAGUCUUUUUGACCCAACAACCAAUCUUAGCAAUCAAUCUUUAGAUUUUGGGACAAGAUUCAGUCAUGAUCAUGACCCAACAGGGGCAAUAUCCUGUGGUAUGCACCUCACACCUUCAUUUGGAAGAUCAAUCUUCCAACCAACCAUGGCAUCUGGAAAUGCAACUUUUCCUAUUGGGGCAUCAAAUGCAUUUCAUGUAACAAGUGGCUUCCUUAUUGAUACAUAUAGGACCCAUGGAUUUCCCGAAAGAAAUAAAAAGGUAUAGUUAGGAGCAUACAAUAUCAUUUUUGUUGUUGUGUUGUUUUCUACUAUGUAUCUCAGAUUGGAAGACUAUUUAGGUUUCAAUGCCAAAUUGGCUUAGAGAGGAAAUAAUUCAGAAGAAAGAAGUAAUUGGAACAUCAGCCAUAGAGAUUUCCAUGCAGGAUACCGAGUCUAAUGAAGUUGAAGUUAUGGAGGGAUCUCUUGGGAAAGGAGAUCAGGUGGAUAGAAAAAAACAUUUCUACAGAAGAAGAGGAUGAUGAUGAGAUUCUAUUAUGGAAAUCCAUGAUAAUUUUGAUUCAUUGAAUUUAGGUUGUGUUUGGUAUGAUCAUGAUGGAAUCAAGGAAGAAAUGGAAUGGUUCAUUCCAUAUGAAUGAAGAAGAAAAACCUGUUUGUGUUUAAUGAACCAUUUCUGAUGGAAUGUGAUUCAUUCCAAGUUGUUAAUUUUGUUGUCUAGUUUGUGUUUAAUGAACCAUUUCUAAUGCAUUCCAUUCCUUCAGCCAACCAAACAUUAUAAUUCAGUGUAAUUUCAGACCAAAUUUUUCUAGUCUAGUUUGAACUUUAAAUUUGUAGUACAUUACUAUUGAAUCAGGUUUGGGACGAUUUUUGUUGGAAGUAGGAACGAAUUUGAGUUUUCUCGAAGUCAAGGCUGUUAAGAACUAAUUGUGAUAACAUUAAGUAUAAUAAAGUCCAAAGGGCCCCAAAUUUUUGGUUCGCUUAGAGCCCCCAAUCUGGUUGAGCCGCCCCUGUCCUCAUUUGGAAAUCCAAAUCCAUAAGUGUUCAAGAAUGCAGAGUCCAUAUUGAAGCAACUUCUUAAUGAAGAUCACAAAGACAUAAUAAAUAAUUCACACCAUUUUGAAACCCUUUACAUGAUUGGGGACAAUCCUUCGGUUGAUGUUAAGGGCGCAAGACAGGCGGGACAUCCAUGGUUUUCUAUUUUGACAAGGACAACUGUUUUUAGAGGAAAAGAGAACCACACGGAUUAUCCUGCUAAUAAGGUUGUUGAUACUGUAGAAGAGGAGGCUGUGGAAUAUAUAUUGCAAAGAGAGGCUAUAUAAUACUUAGCAAAAACACAUUUUUUUUUUAUCCAUGAGUUCCUGUACAGAUAGAAGGCUCUAGGAUUUUGACGAAUUUAAAUUUCAAAAUGAAAGUAUCUCAUGUUUUUUUAUUAAAAAAUCUUUUUCUAAUUGCUUGAAUUCAAUGUCACUCUAUUACCUAUGUUACUUUUCGGGUGUACCAUUGUUGAUGAGAUGCCCGUAGUUAGGGAUGAAAGUGAGUCCAAACCCGGACCUGGCAAACCCGGAACCGAUUAACGGGAUUUUGUAGAACCGAAAACUAGACUGGUAUAUAGGAACCGGUUCCUAUUUGGUUCCAGGUACGGUACCGGGUAAAGUGGGUCUAGAACCAGAAAACCCGAAAACAUCAAAGUGGGUAGGUUGGAAUCGGAUAAAAUGGUUUAGAACCGGAAAACCCG
This is a non-coding RNA of Lactuca sativa (garden lettuce), 2699 nucleotides long. The record is from RefSeq and is a predicted model, not a curated record. Lineage: Eukaryota; Viridiplantae; Streptophyta; Magnoliopsida; Asterales; Asteraceae.